This is a ribosomal RNA of Acinetobacter rudis CIP 110305, 1593 nucleotides long. It matches the Rfam family "Archaeal large subunit ribosomal RNA", at positions 1423 to 2973 of the family's 2987-position model. The record is from Rfam. NCBI's taxonomy places the organism in Bacteria, Pseudomonadati, Pseudomonadota, Gammaproteobacteria, Moraxellales, Moraxellaceae.
CGCUGAAAGACCAAGGGUUCCAGUCCAACGUUAAUCGGGGCUGGGUGAGUCGACCCCUAAGGCGAGGCCGAAAGGCGUAGUCGAUGGGAAAUUGGUUAAUAUUCCAAUACUUCUGUGUAAUGCGAUGAGAGGACGGAGAAGGUUAAGUCAGCCUGGCGUUGGUUGUCCAGGUGAAAGACAGUAGGCAUGCAUCUUAGGCAAAUCCGGGGUGCUCUAUGCUGAGAGUCGAUAGCAAGCUAGUUUACUAGCGAAGUGGCUGAUACCCUGCUUCCAGGAAAAGUCUCUAAGCUUCAGUUACACAGGAAUCGUACCCGAAACCGACACAGGUGGUCAGGUCGAGUAGACCAAAGCGCUUGAGAGAACUCUGCUGAAGGAACUAGGCAAAAUGGUACCGUAACUUCGGGAGAAGGUACGCUGCUGACGGUGAUGGGAUUUACUCCCUGAGCGGUUGGCAGCCUCAGAAACCAGGCCGCUGCAACUGUUUAUUAAAAACAUAGCACUCUGCAAACACGAAAGUGGACGUAUAGGGUGUGAUGCCUGCCCGGUGCUGGAAGGUUAAUUGAUGGGGUUAGCGUAAGCGAAGCUCUUGAUCGAAGCCCCAGUAAACGGCGGCCGUAACUAUAACGGUCCUAAGGUAGCGAAAUUCCUUGUCGGGUAAGUUCCGACCUGCACGAAUGGCAUAAUGAUGGCGGCGCUGUCUCCAGCAGAGGCUCAGUGAAAUCGAAAUCGCCGUGAAGAUGCGGUGUACCCGCGGCUAGACGGAAAGACCCCGUGAACCUUUACUGCAGCUUGACAUUGAACUUUGAUCUUACUUGUGUAGGAUAGGUGGGAGGCUUUGAAGUAGUGACGCCAGUUACUAUGGAGCCAUCCUUGAAAUACCACCCUGGUAAUAUUGAGGUUCUAACUCUGUCCCGUUAUCCGGGACGAGGACCAUGUCUGGUGGGUAGUUUGACUGGGGCGGUCUCCUCCUAAAGAGUAACGGAGGAGUACGAAGGUGCGCUCAGCGUGGUCGGAAAUCACGCGUAGAGUAUAAAGGCAAAAGCGCGCUUAACUGCGAGACCAACAAGUCGAGCAGGUACGAAAGUAGGUCUUAGUGAUCCGGUGGUUCUGUAUGGAAGGGCCAUCGCUCAACGGAUAAAAGGUACUCUGGGGAUAACAGGCUGAUACCGCCCAAGAGUUCAUAUCGACGGCGGUGUUUGGCACCUCGAUGUCGGCUCAUCUCAUCCUGGGGCUGAAGCAGGUCCCAAGGGUAUGGCUGUUCGCCAUUUAAAGAGGUACGCGAGCUGGGUUUAGAACGUCGUGAGACAGUUCGGUCCCUAUCUACCGUGGGCGCUGGAAAUUUGAGAGGAUCUGCUCCUAGUACGAGAGGACCAGAGUGGACGAACCUCUGGUGUACCGGUUGUGACGCCAGUCGCAUCGCCGGGUAGCUAUGUUCGGAAGGGAUAACCGCUGAAAGCAUCUAAGCGGGAAGCCUACCUCAAGAUUAGAUUUCCCAAGGAAUUUAUUCCUCUAAAGAUCCGUUCGAGACUAGGACGUUGAUAGGUUGGAUGUGGAAGCAUAGUGAUAUGUGUAGCUGACCAAUACUAAUUGAUC